GUGGGGAAUCUUGCGCAAUGGGCGAAAGCCUGACGCAGCCAUGCCGCGUGAAUGAUGAAGGUCUUAGGAUUGUAAAAUUCUUUCACCGGGGACGAUAAUGACGGUACCCGGAGAAGAAGCUCCGGCUAACUUCGUGCCAGCAGCCGCGGUAAUACGAAGGGGGCUAGCGUUGCUCGGAAUUACUGGGCGUAAAGGGCGCGUAGGCGGACAGCUUAGUCAGAGGUGAAAGCCCAGGGCUCAACCUUGGAAUUGCCUUUGAUACUGGCUGUCUUGAGUUUGGGAGAGGUGAGUGGAACUCCGAGUGUAGAGGUGAAAUUCGUAGAUAUUCGGAGGAACACCAGUGGCGAAGGCGGCUUACUGGUCCAUUACUGACGCUGAGGUGCGAAAGCGUGGGGAGCAAACAGGAUUAGAUACCCCAGUAGUCC
This 425-nucleotide ribosomal RNA is filed under the name uncultured bacterium. Its description in RNAcentral is "bacterial SSU rRNA". It matches the Rfam family "Bacterial small subunit ribosomal RNA", at positions 354 to 796 of the family's 1533-position model. The record is from RNAcentral.